RNAcentral lists this microRNA precursor (143 nucleotides) under Gossypium raimondii (Peruvian cotton). Its description in RNAcentral is "MIR7502 microRNA precursor family". It matches the Rfam family "MIR7502 microRNA precursor family". Lineage: Eukaryota; Viridiplantae; Streptophyta; Magnoliopsida; Malvales; Malvaceae. The record is from Rfam by way of RNAcentral.
UGUUAAAAAUGGUCUAUAUCUACUAUUAAAAACUGGCGUAGAUGACGAAAUGACCAAAUAUUUGCACGUAGUGUGCCACAUGUACCUAAUGCUAAUGUAUAAGAACCAAUUUUUAACGGUAAAAAUGAAUAAAAUUUUUAACA